Molecule: ribosomal RNA, 443 nt
Filed under: uncultured bacterium
Lineage: Bacteria
Description: partial 16S ribosomal RNA
Rfam family: Bacterial small subunit ribosomal RNA
Source: RNAcentral
CCUACGGGUGGCAGCAGUGGGGAAUAUUGGGCAAUGGGCGCAAGCCUGACCCAGCAACGCCGCGUGAAGGAAGAAGGCUUUCGGGUUGUAAACUUCUUUUCUCAGGGACGAAGCAAGUGACGGUAGCUGAGGAAUAAGCCACGGCUAACUACGUGCCAGCAGCCGCGGUAAUACGUAGGUGGCAAGCGUUAUCCGGAUUUACUGGGUGUAAAGGGCGUGUAGGCGGGAAAGCAAGUCAGAUGUGAAAACCAUGGGCUCAACCUGUGGCCUGCAUUUGAAACUGUUUUUCUUGAGUACUGGAGAGGCAGACGGAAUGUCUAGUGUAGCGGUGAAAUGCGUAGAGAUUAGGAGGAACACCAGUGGCGAAGGCGGUCUGCUGGACAGCAACUGACGCUGAGGCGCGAAAGCGUGGGGAGCAACCAGGAUUAGAUACCCGAGUAGUC